RNAcentral lists this unclassified non-coding RNA (240 nucleotides) under soil metagenome. RNAcentral describes it as "partial contains 5.8S ribosomal RNA, internal transcribed spacer 2, and large subunit ribosomal RNA". The record is from RNAcentral.
AAGACUAUAGACCUGCGGAGUACCUGCGGAGGGAUCAUUAUCGUAUUGUAACAAUUGGGGGGGCCACCGUGUGCUGUCGCUGACCCUUUGAAAGGGGGGUCGUGCACGCCCCCAUAGUGUCAUCCUCAUACAAUCCAACUCACCUCUGUGCAUCACCGCGUGGGUUCCUUUCUGGGUCGAGUCAGACUGGCUCAGAAAAAAGGGGCUUGCGUUUUCCAUACAAAUACCCUUAUAAAUCCA